This 900-nucleotide unclassified non-coding RNA is filed under the name Pectinophora gossypiella (pink bollworm). RNAcentral describes it as "uncharacterized LOC126376739". The record is from RNAcentral. Lineage: Eukaryota; Metazoa; Arthropoda; Insecta; Lepidoptera; Gelechiidae.
UCAGAGGCCACGGUCUGUCUGCAGCUUGUAAUAAUUAGAUCCGCUUACUACUAAGUAUAAUAAUUUUAAUUAAGUUGUAAAAUAAAUAAGGAUUCUAUAGAGAAAUUAAUCGAGGAACUUCACAACUAAUGAGGCAGAUAGUUGGGGUCGCGACCUGUUCAGUAAAGUGAUAAACUGAUAUUACUUUUUAUAACGUGAAUGACGAUUAGAAUUAUUAAAUUAGUCUACCAGCCGAGCCCGUAUAGAACAGAGCAAAGAGCUUGGACUAUUGAGAUAAGGAAUGAUGCAAGGGGGUGUGCGGCCGUGCCUCCGCCUGACCCGCCUAUCUGCGUGUGCGCCGAUAAACACGGCAGAGGAAAAUUACGCGGCGAUUCGAGAACUAAACUAUUGUCGCGGGAGAGAAACUAGGUACUUAUGGUUUUUGUUUUCAUAACACUUACCCAUGCUGAGGGAAACUCACAAAGACAAAAAAAAUAUAUUUUUUUUUUGAGUUUUUUAGUUUUGCAUGGACAGGAGGAGGACCCGGAUGUGUAAUAGUUAACGUAACACGCUCCUCCCGGCUUGACAAGUGCUGCGGGUUCAAGUCGCGUCCGAGUCACGUUUUUGUUUUGCGAUUUUUCUCUUUGGACGCUACUUUACGUUACGAUGUCGCACCCACCCUAUAGAAUAGAAUAGAAUAGAAUAACUUUAUUCCCAGAACAGUGAAGGUUACUAAAGCAUUUACAUAAAUUAAGUUUAACAAUUUGUGACUAGUAGCUAACACUGCCCAGGGAAAUGGGACUGACUCAGCAUAUUGUUGCUAAGAGUAUGGUACGAGUACCCACUCUCACCAACACUGAUAUUCUGCCAGUACCCAUAUUACGCUUAUAAUUAGUAAUAAAUGAAUUGAACGUGCCAACA